GGUGCCACUUACAAUUCUACAAAGACAGAGCUGGAGGCUGCAUUCCCAAAUCAUCUGGUCCAGCCUCCGCCUAAUGCACUUAAUUCUUUUUGUCAGUGAGGAUCUCCAGACGCUUCAGCCAUCAGCGGAGAUGUCCUUGACUGUUGUAACAAUCAUUUCCUCUGUUACGAGAAGAGAUUGUAAGGGAAACUGCAGUUAGUGCAAGUUGACUCUCCAGAGGUGGGCUCAUUCAGACUAUGUGGAGGCGUUGACUCUCCGACAGGGGGCGUGGUUACCGGGCGCCAUAGCUGGCCGGAACUACGAAUCCCAGCGUACCCUGGGGCUAGAAGGCGGAGUCUAGUGAUCUAGGGGGCAGGGCCUUGGAGAAAGGGGGCAUUGUGCUGGGAGCGAGGUGCUGCCGCGGCUGCUGCUGCUGCUGCUGCAUUUGUCUGGUUUCCCAGUCGCUCGCGGAUCUUUUGUGGAAUCUUUGGCCCGGGGAGCUCGGAUGUGAAUGUGUCAACGGCGGCUGCAGCAACCACUUUGCCCUGGCCGAAAGGGUCCCCCCCCAAGGCCGCUGGGCUGUCUGGCUUUGUAGUGGGGAAGAUGCGGCCCAUGUGGCUGUGGAAACGCGGAUGGGGGGCCACCCGGGAGAAGCAAAGUUAUUCCGACUCGGCCUUUCCGCAGCUGUGGCCAAGCCCCCUGCCGCUCGUUCUCCUCAUCUCGGAGGAAGAGUGGUCUGCAUCUCGUUUGCCAAAUGGAAAACGAAAGGGACAAAUCUUAAGCACAGUCCCUCUGAAAGUUAGGAGUGGCUGACCCGAAAUAAGGAACAAAUGAUGAGGGAGAAGCUUUUCUUUGAAUGGACAUUUUUUGGUUUUAAGUUUUCGGAGUUCAAAAAAUGUGUAGUUUUGGGGGAAGCUGCUUCAGGUUACUCUGUGUCUUAACUCUGUAGGCAGCCUGUCCCCUCCCCCUCUCAUCAUUCCCUUUCAACUCCUUUUCUUUCUAACUCUUUUCCUCAGCUGUCUAGCAUCUUGGAAUCUUUCCUCUCUUUGGCAAAGGGCUUUCCUUCUCUUUUUGCUUAUUGGCAUCAGUUUCUCCUGCUAUAGCCUUAGAGAGAACCAGAUUUAUGGCAACACUUUCCUUCUUUCCAUUCAGAGAUCUAGAGAUGAACUGACCCCCAAGUACUUGAAGCAGUCAGGUGCUUCAAAGACAUCCAGGUCUUUUGGGGAGGGGGCUAAAGAGGGUAGAGGGUACAAGCAGGUUUUCCUUUCAACUCUAGGUGCUCUCUUUUUGCUUCUGCCAUCUUACUUAUUUGGAAAAUUUUAAACUACAGAGAAUCUAGCUUUUGAGAAAAACUUGGCCAAAGGCAGGUGAUAGAUUGAUUUGCUGUUUUACCUCAGACAACUGGGGGAAAAGAAGUAUCUGCUGUGGAGAAAGAUUUGAGAGAAACCACUGGAGAUAAAACCGCAUUUUCUGGGGUGUGGGAUUGCCAUGUUCUGGACUUGGUUGCCUGUGACCUUCUAGUCCCAUUCCACUGGCCAUUCGAAAGGGUACCAUUUGCUAUGGGGAUCAGCAUUCUGAACUGUAGCUUUCCUCUGCCUUGCAUGUACAGCCACACAGGAGAAUGCUGUUUAACACUACCUAGAAACUGUAAUGAGUCCGUGAGAAAGCAGACUACUUUGCCUCUGUCUUGCCUCCUACCUUCUGUGAUUUCCUGCAGCUGCUCACACAGUUGUAUAAGAUGGGAUACUUGGAAAUGAAACAGCAAAGGCUUAAUUACCUCUCUGGGAAGCCUAGACACAUUCUUGACCUGCCUUUUGGGAGAGAAGCAUGUUCUUUGUAGACAACUUUUUUCUUGAACAAAUAUGUGGUCCCUAUAUCACCUCUUGGUCUUAUCUAGUCUGCCCAUCCCCACUGUGGGUUCAUGUGGGUGUGUGUGGAUGUUUGUGGUUGAAGGAGCAGUGACAGGCAAAUCAGUGAAUGUAGCAGUCAUAAUAAUAACAACAAUUUAAUUAAGGUUGGCUCAACUGGACAGCUAUUUUUUUAUAUGAGCCUUCAGCAUUUCUGUUGAUUAAUAACAUAUGGCAUGGAUUAAUCUUAAGGAAACAAAUGACCAGGAAGUCCCAGGACUGAGGUUCUGUGUGACUUCCCAGAAUAAUCUUUCUACCUUGAUUAAAGACCAUUUAUAAAAAAAAAAAAGAAAGAAAAUGACCGUUGGUCAAGUAGUGGUUUUUUGCUAAUUUUAUCUCUAACAGUCAGAAAUUCUGCAUGUGAUCACUCAUUUUUUAUGUUCAAAGUGCCUCAGGGCAUAGUUAUUUGCUGUGACUACUUUUACUGUACAAUGUGUCAUGCACAGUCGCUGGAUACAUUUUCUUUCUUAGUUGUUUAUAACAUCUUUAGCCUCUAAAGUAAAAUACAGCCAAUCUGACCCUCUUGUUAGGAGGAAAACAAAACUUUCAGAAGUCUUGGUUUGUGGGGCCUCUUGUAGAGAUGUACUUGGACCACUGGAGUCAUGCUUAAUGGUCUAAGCAAAUCUGGCAGACUGCUUUCUGAGAAAAUAGCAUGAGAGGAGGCAGCACUUAGAGCUCUAAAGACACUGAGGGAGGUCCCAAGUACAAUAGUUUUCCUCCCAGUGAUUGUUUUUUUUUUGAAAAUUCUAUGUAUGACCCCAUAUACUCUGCAAAGGCAAAUGUUUGAGAACAGCUCAGUUAUACUAUUUUAAUCUUUGGCAUCAAAUUGGGAGGACAAAGGCUCAGAUGGAAUCUUUGUAGAGAGACUGCCAAGGGAUUGUAUUGGCAUAUCAGCAUAACUUUUUUAGCAUCCAUGUUAAAUGUUAAUAAAACUUAACAAAAACCUGUGAUGCA
Molecule: long non-coding RNA, 2840 nt
Organism: Monodelphis domestica (gray short-tailed opossum)
Lineage: Eukaryota; Metazoa; Chordata; Mammalia; Didelphimorphia; Didelphidae
Source: Ensembl